GAUGAACGCUGGCGGCGUGCCUAAUACAUGCAGGUCGAGCGAACAGACGAGGAGCUUGCUCCUUUGACGUUAGCGGCGGACGGGUGAGUAACACGUAGGUAACCUACCUAUAAGACUGGGAUAACUUCGGGAAACCGGAGCUAAUACCGGAUAAUAUUUCGAACCGCAUGGUUCGAUAGUGAAAGAUGGCUUUGCUAUCACUUAUAGAUGGACCUGCGCCGUAUUAGCUAGUUGGUAAGGUAACGGCUUACCAAGGCAACGAUACGUAGCCGACCUGAGAGGGUGAUCGGCCACACUGGAACUGAGACACGGUCCAGACUCCUACGGGAGGCAGCAGUAGGGAAUCUUCCGCAAUGGGCGAAAGCCUGACGGAGCAACGCCGCGUGAGUGAUGAAGGUCUUCGGAUCGUAAAACUCUGUUAUUAGGGAAGAACAAACGUGUAAGUAACUGUGCACGUCUUGACGGUACCUAAUCAGAAAGCCACGGCUAACUACGUG
Molecule: ribosomal RNA, 497 nt
Filed under: uncultured bacterium
Lineage: Bacteria
Description: partial 16S ribosomal RNA
Rfam family: Bacterial small subunit ribosomal RNA
Source: RNAcentral